GGAGGCGUGGCAGAGUGGACUAAUGCGGCGGUCUUGAAAACCGUUAUCCGCUGAUAAAGCGGGUCAGAGGUUCGAAUCCUCUCGCCUCCGCCA
RNAcentral lists this transfer RNA (93 nucleotides) under Candidatus Doudnaibacteriota bacterium. RNAcentral describes it as "Candidatus Doudnabacteria bacterium tRNA-Ser". It matches the Rfam family "tRNA". Rfam says of the family: Transfer RNA (tRNA) molecules are approximately 80 nucleotides in length. Their secondary structure includes four short double-helical elements and three loops (D, anti-codon, and T loops). Further hydrogen bonds mediate the characteristic L-shaped molecular structure. tRNAs have two regions of fundamental functional importance: the anti-codon, which is responsible for specific mRNA codon recognition, and the 3' end, to which the tRNAs corresponding amino acid is attached (by aminoacyl-tRNA synthetases). tRNAs cope with the degeneracy of the genetic code in two manners: having more than one tRNA (with a specific anti-codon) for a particular amino acid; and 'wobble' base-pairing, i.e. permitting non-standard base-pairing at the 3rd anti-codon position. The record is from RNAcentral. Lineage: Bacteria; Candidatus Doudnaibacteriota.